This 68-nucleotide transfer RNA is filed under the name Olea europaea subsp. europaea. Its description in RNAcentral is "tRNA.Val". Lineage: Eukaryota; Viridiplantae; Streptophyta; Magnoliopsida; Lamiales; Oleaceae. The record is from RNAcentral.
UGGGCAGUCUGGUUGGUUAUCAUGCUAGUCUCACAUGCUAAAGGUCCUCGGUUCGAACCGAGGGUCAG